AAUGAACGUUGGCGGCGUGGAUUAGGCAUGCAAGUCGGACGCUCCGCAAGGGGCGUGGCGUAAGGGUGAGUAAGGCGACGGCAACCAACCCCGAGGCCGGGCCUAGCCGCUCGAAAGGGACGGGUAAUUCCCGGCGGUCUGCCCUCGGGGGCGAUCCCUCGGGGCGAGUAAAGGUAGUGAUUCCGCCUCGGGACGGGCCGUCGUGAUAUUAGCUGGUUGGC
Molecule: ribosomal RNA, 221 nt
Filed under: uncultured bacterium
Lineage: Bacteria
Description: partial 16S ribosomal RNA
Rfam family: Bacterial small subunit ribosomal RNA
Source: RNAcentral